CCUACGGGAGGCAGCAGUGGGGAAUAUUUGGUAAUGGGCGAAAGCCUGACGCAGCGACGCCGCGUGGAGGAUGAAGGCCUUCGGGUUGUAAACUCCUUUUGCAGGGGACGAUGAUGACGGUACCCUGCGAAUAAGCCACGGCUAACUCUGUGCCAGCAGCCGCGGUAAGACAGAGGUGGCGAGCGUUGUUCGGAAUUACUGGGCUUAAAGGGCGCGUAGGUGGUAGUGCAAGUCUGGGGUGGAAUCCGGUGGUUUAACCAGCGAACUGCCCUGGAAACUGCAUGGCUUGAGUCAGUGAGGGGAGGGCGGAAUUCCCGGUGUAGCAGGAAAAUGCGUAGAUAUCGGGAGGAAGGCCGGUGGCGAGGGCGGCCCUCUGGUGCUUGACUGACGCUGAGGCGCUAAAGCGUGGGGAGCAAACAGGAUUAGAUACCCCAGUAGU
This 439-nucleotide ribosomal RNA is filed under the name uncultured Nitrospirales bacterium. RNAcentral describes it as "partial 16S ribosomal RNA". It matches the Rfam family "Bacterial small subunit ribosomal RNA", at positions 338 to 794 of the family's 1533-position model. Lineage: Bacteria; Pseudomonadati; Nitrospirota; Nitrospiria; Nitrospirales. The record is from RNAcentral.